CGUUGUUCAUCUCCACCUUUCUCAGCAUGUAGAUCAGAGGACUGAACAUGGGAGCAAUGAUGGUACAGAAGAGAACAAACACUUU
RNAcentral lists this long non-coding RNA (85 nucleotides) under Pan troglodytes (chimpanzee). RNAcentral's name for it is "lincRNA". Lineage: Eukaryota; Metazoa; Chordata; Mammalia; Primates; Hominidae. The record is from RNAcentral.